CCUACGGUGAGCUGCAGUGGGGGAUAUUGCACAAUGGGGGAAACCCUGAUGCAGCGACGCCGCGUGAGUGACGAAGUAUUUCGGUAUGUAAAGCUCUAUCAGCUGGGCCGCAAAUGACAGUACCUGACAAAGAAGCCCCGGCUAACUACGUGCCAGCAGCCGCGGUACUACGUAGGGGGCAAGCGUUAUCCGGAUUUACUGGGUGUAAAGGGAGCGUAGACGGUUAUGUAAGUCUGGAGUGAAAGCCCGGGGCCCAACCCCGUGACUGCUUUGGAAACUGUGUAACUGGAGUACAGGAGGGGCAGGCGGAAUUACUGGGGUAGCGGUGAAAUGCGUAGAUAUCAGGAGGAACACCGGCGGCGAAGGCGGCCUGCUGGACUGAAACUGACGUUGAGGCUCGAAAGCGUGGGGAGCAAACAGGAGUAGAUACCCUGGUAGUC
This 440-nucleotide ribosomal RNA is filed under the name uncultured bacterium. RNAcentral's name for it is "partial 16S ribosomal RNA". It matches the Rfam family "Bacterial small subunit ribosomal RNA", at positions 338 to 795 of the family's 1533-position model. The record is from RNAcentral.